Molecule: small nucleolar RNA, 263 nt
Filed under: Carlito syrichta (Philippine tarsier)
Lineage: Eukaryota; Metazoa; Chordata; Mammalia; Primates; Tarsiidae
Description: Small Cajal body specific RNA 6 (ENSTSYG00000024669.2)
Rfam family: Small Cajal body specific RNA 6
About the family: U88 is small Cajal body specific RNA (scaRNA). scaRNAs are a novel class of small nuclear RNAs which localise to the Cajal bodies.
Source: Rfam by way of RNAcentral
GGGGAAGGAAGUACAUAGGAACUCUCUGCGCGUCCUUCUAUACUUCUCAAAAGUGAAAAGAAGCUGCCUUUCCCUCAUUAGGCUCUAGGAGUGCUGUGAUGGGCAAAAUGGCAGCUGGCACUCCAUAAUGUCCCUGUUCUGUGUUUCUUAGUGUGCUCAGGGAAGACACCAUGGUUGGUAUCCAACAGCGUAGUCACAAAGGGAUUUGAUUGUUGAGAGUGCUGGUAUCCGUGGCUAUGAUCUGGUGUUUCCAAGUUAAGACC